RNAcentral lists this ribosomal RNA (242 nucleotides) under Aplanochytrium stocchinoi. RNAcentral describes it as "partial Bacterial large subunit ribosomal RNA". It matches the Rfam family "Bacterial large subunit ribosomal RNA", at positions 1902 to 2143 of the family's 2925-position model. The record is from RNAcentral. Lineage: Eukaryota; Bigyra; Thraustochytrida; Thraustochytriidae.
AAGCUCUUGAUUGAAGUCCCAGUAAACGGCGGCCGUAACAAUAACGGUCCUAAGGUAGCGAAAUUCCUUGUCGGGUAAGUUCCGACCUGCACGAAUGGCGUAACGAUGGCCACACUGUCUCCUCCCGAGACUCAGCGAAGUUGAAAUGUUUGUGAUGAUGCAAUCUCCCCGCGGAAAGACGGAAAGACCCCAUGAACCUUUACUGUAGCUUUGUAUUGGACUUUGAACAGAUCUGUGUAGGA